Molecule: non-coding RNA, 1451 nt
Organism: Lactuca sativa (garden lettuce)
Lineage: Eukaryota; Viridiplantae; Streptophyta; Magnoliopsida; Asterales; Asteraceae
Source: RefSeq, a predicted model, not a curated record
UUUUUUUUUGCUUUCGUUGGAAAUUUGUCGGAAAGUUCCGACGAAAUUCCCACAAACUCCAAAUACUUACUUCUUCCUCUUUUACCCUAGCCUUUCUUACUUCAGUCUUAUAGAAAACAAAGGAUCGGCCAUUCUCCCUAAACCAUGGUUGGCGUCUCCCCAAAUCACCUCUAGCAACCGCCGAUUUUCCCCACAACACAACCGUGCUGCGAUAAACCACCAUCACAAACGCUUUACGCCGGCGGUGUCUCAGUUGCAAGCGUUUCUUCCCACCGUUGCUGCAUCAAACGACCAUCACAACCACUUCACGCUGGCGCUGUCUCCGUUGCCGCAGCCAAUAACUUCUAGACCACCACUUGUUUCCGUCGUCGGUUAGUUCAGACACUUUAUGAUUGGGAUUUGAGAGAGGAUGAAAAAGUUAGGGAAAACUUUGAGUUUAUCGUCCAAGAACGAUACAGAGACCUCAUGGCUACAUUUAGGAAUAGAUCAACAUAUAUGGCUAGAGCUGCUGGACAUGAUAUCUCACCGGAUAAUAAAGACUAUGAUAUCAUGCAGACUUUUGUACCCAAUGGGAUGCAAUCUCAGAGGUGGAAGGAUUUGUGUAGGGAAUGGAACACGGAUGCGUGGCUGAAAAGAUCUGCAAGUGGGAAGAGUAACCGCAAUACCGCUGAUAGUGGUGGGAAAAUAGCAAGACAUACUGGGGGUAGUAUUAGUUAUGAUGAGCACCGCAUUAGAUUCAUAGCAAAAAAGGGACGACCACCCACAUUUUUGGAGUUGUUCUUGAUCACUCAUCUAGAUAAAACAUCAAAGAAGAAAUAUUUUGAUUGAGAUGUUGAGGGAAAGCAGUUUUGCAAUGAGAGAGCAAGGGAAGCUUAUGAAACGUACUCUCGAACCUUGCUUGAGAAGUAUGGGGAUGAUUUGGUUGAUCACCCGAUUGAUGAUGCCGAAUUGUGGGCUAAAACCCAAAGGGAGAUAAGUGGUGCUUCGAGGUGUAGUUAUAUCUAUGGAGUUGGAUCUUCGGAUAUAAACUCUUUGUUCAAUAGGAAAUCAUCUAUUGGUGCGGGGUGUUCGUCGUCUUAUUGCGGGUCUCAACAGGAGGUUAAGGAGCUACGAAACCAACUUGAAAAUGUGGAGAGGGAAAGAGUUUUGAUGCAACAAAAACAAGAAGUGAUGGAACAACAAUUGGCUCAACUAAUGAGACGAUUUGGUAACCCUCCUGAAGACCGAUGUUAGUUUUGUUUGGAAUAUUUUGUUGGUGAAGUACAAAAAUGUAAUUGUUUUGGUGAAGUAGUAGAUGGUAACUAUCAUCCGGAUGAAAUAUUGGUUUUGUGGAUAUUUAGUAAUUACUAUCAUGUUUGAAGUAUUGAAUAGUAGUUACCAUUUUGGAUUUAUAUUGAAUUAUUGUUAUUAUUGUGGUUUAAAGUGCAUAUUUGAAGAAUUUGUAUUUGAUU